Long non-coding RNA from Felis catus (domestic cat), 540 nucleotides. RefSeq lists it as uncharacterized. NCBI's taxonomy places the organism in Eukaryota, Metazoa, Chordata, Mammalia, Carnivora, Felidae. The transcript has 2 exons. The record is from RefSeq and is a predicted model, not a curated record.
AAGGCGGCUGGAGCUCCAGGUUCAUAGCAGCUCCCUGUCUGCCACCUCCCGAGAGGCCAGUCCCCCCUGGCCAGGGCCCGCCCGUCACACACCAGUCUGAGGGAGGCUGUGUGCCUGUCUCCCGGAGCAUCCUCCACGAUGACCUGCAGCUUUCCUCGUCCUCGGAGGAGAGCGACCGGGAGUGAGACACCUCAUGUCCUCGGACACUCGUCCUCUGGCUCUUGUGACCCCGAGCAGAUUCUAUGAGAAAUCCAGCGCCAGGAGAGCAAGAGGUCGUCCACUCGAAUGUAAAGUUAAGGAUCUGUGAAAUGAACGUGUAGUGGGUUUGCGAAUGUCUGAAUGUGGGGGCGCCGGAGGAAUGAUUCCGGUCCGGGCUGGGCAAGUGGAGGCAAUCUUUUGUUUUAGAACAGUUCACUGAUACCGUUUUUGUGCAGAUCAUAUCGGGGAAUAUUUUACAUGCUGUCUGCGUUUUUGUUUUUCCCUGAUAGUGCAACGUUGUGUGUAGUGUUACCACAGCUAAUAAAAUUUGCUCAGACACGA